RNAcentral lists this ribosomal RNA (497 nucleotides) under uncultured bacterium. RNAcentral describes it as "partial 16S ribosomal RNA". It matches the Rfam family "Bacterial small subunit ribosomal RNA", at positions 28 to 507 of the family's 1533-position model. The record is from RNAcentral.
GAUGAACGCUGGCGGCGUGCCUAAUACAUGCAAGUCGAGCGAACAGACGAGGAGCUUGCUCCUCUGACGUUAGCGGCGGACGGGUGAGUAACACGUGGAUAACCUACCUAUAAGACUGGGAUAACUUCGGGAAACCGGAGCUAAUACCGGAUAAUAUAUUGAACCUCAUGGUUCAAUAGUGAAAGACGGUUUUGCUGUCACUUAUAGAUGGAUCCGCGCCGCAUUAGCUAGUUGGUAAGGUAACGGCUUACCAAGUCAACGAUGCGUAGCCGACCUGAGAGGGUGAUCGGCCACACUGGAACUGAGACACGGUCCAGACUCCUACGGGAGGCAGCAGUAGGGAAUCUUCCGCAAAGGGCGAAAGCCUGACGGAGCAACGCCGCGUGAGUGAUGAAGGUCUUCGGAUCGUAAAACUCUGUUAUUAGGGAAGAACAAAUGUGUAAGUAACUAUGCACGUCUUGACGGUACCUAAUCAGAAAGCCACGGCUAACUACGUG